This 497-nucleotide ribosomal RNA is filed under the name uncultured bacterium. Its description in RNAcentral is "partial 16S ribosomal RNA". It matches the Rfam family "Bacterial small subunit ribosomal RNA", at positions 28 to 507 of the family's 1533-position model. The record is from RNAcentral.
GAUGAACGCUGGCGGCGUGCCUAAUACAUGCAAGUCGAGCGAACAGACGAGGAGCUUGCUCCUCUGACGUUAGCGGCGGACGGGUGAGUAACACGUGGAUAACCUACCUAUAAGACUGGGAUAACUUCGGGAAACCGGAGCUAAUACCGUAUAAUAUAUUGAACCGCAUGGUUCAAUAGUGAAAGACGGUUUUGCUGUCACUUAUAGAUGGAUCCGCGCCGCAUUAGCUAGUUGGUAAGGUAACGGCUUACCAAGGCAACGAUGCGUAGCCGACCUGAGAGGGUGAUAGGCCACACUGGAACUGAGACACGGUCCAGACUCCUACGGGAGGCAGCAGUAGGGAAUCUUCCGCAAUGGGCGAAAGCUUGACGGAGCAACGCCGCGUGAGUGAUGAAGGUCUUCGGAUCGUAAAACUCUGUUAUUAGGGAAGAACAAAUGUGUAAGUAACUAUGCACGUAUUGACGGUACCUAAUCAGAAAGCCACGGCUAACUACGUG